This 214-nucleotide unclassified non-coding RNA is filed under the name Hevea brasiliensis (rubber tree). Lineage: Eukaryota; Viridiplantae; Streptophyta; Magnoliopsida; Malpighiales; Euphorbiaceae. The record is from RNAcentral.
GGCUAAUUGGUUGGCCCUGCCCAGUUUCUCAGUUUGUGACCACCUCAAGAACAGAAAUAUAAACCUAAAAUGAGCUGGACAACAGACAUACAACCUCUAUGAUAAGAAAGUGAGUGCUAGUGUACAUGCUUAAUGGGCUUAAUUGCACCAACCAUCCUUGAACUUAAGCGAUACUUUCAAUUUCAUCCUUAAACUUCAAUUUGUUAAAAUAAAA